This 455-nucleotide ribosomal RNA is filed under the name uncultured Bacillota bacterium. RNAcentral describes it as "bacterial SSU rRNA". The record is from RNAcentral. Lineage: Bacteria; Bacillati; Bacillota.
GAGUUUGAUCAUGGCUCAGGACGAACGCUGGCGGCACGCCUAACACAUGCAAGUCGAACGGAGAUAUUUUGGUUUACUGAGAUAUYUUAGUGGCGGACGGGUGAGUAACACGUGAGCAACCUGCCUYUGAGAGAGGGAUAGCUUCUGGAAACGGAUGGUAAUACCUCAUAACAUAACGAAGCCGCAUGACUUUGUUAUCAAAGAUUUAUCACUCAGAGAUGGGCUCGCGUYUGAUUAGAUAGUUGGUGAGGUAACGGCCCACCAAGUCGACGAUCAGUAGCCGGACUGAGAGGUUGAACGGCCACAUUGGGACUGAGACACGGCCCAGACUCCUACGGGAGGCAGCAGUGGGGAAUAUUGCACAAUGGGGGAAACCCUGAUGCAGCGAUGCCGCGUGGAGGAAGAAGGUUUUCGGAUUGUAAACUCCUUGUCUAAAGGACGAUAAUGACGGUACU